CAAAGCGCUUCCCUUUGGAGC
Molecule: microRNA, 21 nt
Filed under: Gorilla gorilla (western gorilla)
Lineage: Eukaryota; Metazoa; Chordata; Mammalia; Primates; Hominidae
Also listed under: 3 other names
Description: ggo-miR-518d-3p
Gene: ggo-miR-518d-3p
Source: miRBase by way of RNAcentral